CCAACGCAGCGCCUCCACUACCACCACGUCACACCUCUCUAUACACAUAGCUCUGGAUCUAACCGCAACUGAAGUUGUAGUAGCUACAGAUCGGCGCUAUGUACAGAUCUAGGCAACUCCAUCUCGCCGCAAUUCACCACGCCGCCACAAGCAGCGGAAGAACUAUGCGACGAUGAAUGAGGCCCUCACCGUCGCACUGCUCGGUCUAUCCGUCAGAGAAAUGAUGGAAAGAGGAUAAGAGAUGGGAGAGAGGCGAGUUAGAGAGAGAAUAUUUUAGGGUUGGUGAUUUUAG
This 292-nucleotide long non-coding RNA is filed under the name Olea europaea (common olive). Its description in RNAcentral is "long non-coding RNA (OEUR_LNC005839)". Lineage: Eukaryota; Viridiplantae; Streptophyta; Magnoliopsida; Lamiales; Oleaceae. The record is from RNAcentral.